AUUGAACGCUGGCGGCAUGCCUUACACAUGCAAGUCGAACGGCAGCGCGGGAGCAAUCCUGGCGGCGAGUGGCGAACGGGUGAGUAAUAUAUCGGAACGUGCCCAGUAGUGGGGGAUAGCCCGGCGAAAGCCGGAUUAAUACCGCGUGAGACCUGAGGGUGAAAGCGGGGGAUCGCAAGACCUCGCGCUAUUGGAGCGGCCGAUAUCAGAUUAGCUAGUUGGUGGGGUAAAGGCCUACCAAGGCAACGAUCUGUAGUUGGUCUGAGAGGACGACCAGCCACACUGGGACUGAGACACGGCCCAGACUCCUACGGGAGGCAGCAGUGGGGAAUUUUGGACAAUGGGCGCAAGCCUGAUCCAGCAAUGCCGCGUGCAGGAAGAAGG
This 384-nucleotide ribosomal RNA is filed under the name uncultured bacterium. Its description in RNAcentral is "bacterial SSU rRNA". It matches the Rfam family "Bacterial small subunit ribosomal RNA", at positions 29 to 414 of the family's 1533-position model. The record is from RNAcentral.